UACCCACUAGGCACGUGAAGUUCAUAUUUAGACCCCGAAUAUCAGGAGCUUCGAAAGUGUAAAAAAAUGUACAAUUGUAGCGGAUGGCAUCACUUGUUGCUGUAGCAAUGGUAUCCUGUGCAGACGGAUAGUUAUUGAUAAAGUGAGUCCGGAACUUCGUUAUCUGACAGCUUACAUGGUUUUUAUCGAUUUUAUUGGUGUGUUUGGACUGCUUGUUUCCUUGUUUCUUCAAUGUCCACAAAUUGAAAUGACAGGAACUACUCUCGUCGGACAUGAAAAAUACAAGAGAAGCACCGCAUCCACCGCUUCCAAUGACGGCACGCCACUGUUGGUUUGUUUUGAUGGGAUAAGGUAACGCAAACACGAAGGCGAUUUGUCAAGGAGAGAUAACUACCAGAAGGAUUUUCUACGGGGAAUUGGCCCCUAUUUAGCCGUUAGACACGUGAAGAAAAUCCGGAAAA
Molecule: long non-coding RNA, 461 nt
Organism: Centruroides sculpturatus (bark scorpion)
Lineage: Eukaryota; Metazoa; Arthropoda; Arachnida; Scorpiones; Buthidae
Exons: 3
Source: RefSeq, a predicted model, not a curated record